AGUGAACGCUGGCGGCAGGCCUAACACAUGCAAGUCGAGCGGCAGAACAGUGCGUGCUCCUGGAUUCAGCGGCCGACUGGUGAGUAAUUCCUGAGAAUCUGCCUGGCUGCUGUGGAGAACGUCCUAACGCGGGGACUCAUACGCCAUAACCCCAUACGGCGUACGGGGGAGAGCUGCGGAUCUUCCGCCCUCACACGAGCCAAUGUGCGGAUGUCGGAUUAGCUAGUUGGCGGGGUAAAGGCCCACCAAGGCGACGAUCCGUAGCUGGUCUGAGAGGAUGAUCAGCCACACUGGAACUGAGACACGGUCCAGACUCCUACGGGAGGCAGCAGUGGGGAAUAUUGGACAAUGGGCGAAAGCCUGAUCCAGCCAUGCCGCGUGUGUGAAGAAGGUCUUCGGAUUGUAAAGCACUUUAAGUGGGGAGGAAGGGCAGUAAGUUAAUACCUUGCUGUUUUGACGGUACCAAAAGAAUAAGCACCGGCUAACUUCGUG
Molecule: ribosomal RNA, 492 nt
Filed under: uncultured bacterium
Lineage: Bacteria
Description: partial 16S ribosomal RNA
Rfam family: Bacterial small subunit ribosomal RNA
Source: RNAcentral